AUUUUGUUUACAAAUUUAGUGAAUAGACCCCAGACUAUCACCCAUUUAUGGGAAUACUAUAUUAUAGUAGAAUAAAUACAUUCCAAAAAGUAAUCAUGUCUAUAGUACUUAUUAUUUUAGCCUCUGAAUGACUGCUGAGAGUUUAAUAUGUUUUUUUUGUGUUUUUUUUAAAGCUUAGAAUAAAAUGCACGAUUUAAGAUAUAAAAGUAUAUAGAAAUAUAUUUAUCUUCAAGUAACAUACUAAUUAAUAUAAAUCGGUUUAACAAAUAUGUUCACAAUUAUGUUAUUGUAAUCAAGCUAUUGAAAAUGUAUUGUUUUAAAGCCAUGCCAGAUAUCUUCAAAACUUGCUUCAAUCGAACAGAGAGAAUAACAGUUAUUCACUAAAUCUGACUGCAAGAGAUAUCGUAGCCAAUCAGAACUUUGGUUUCCAGAAUCAAACCAUAAGCAUUUCACUGUGAUUGGAUGAUAACAUGCAGCUAGAAUGGUAAAAUGUAACUGCAAUGCCUCAAAUUCUAAUUCAGGAAAUCGUAGUGAGUUGAUUUGUUGACCAGAUUUAAAAGCAUAUCUAUCUAAUAAUGGAAAAGGUAUUUUAAUGGACGAUGAGAAUGAAAAGAGAUUUCUGUAUACUAAGCACUGUAAAUGUCCUAGAUGUUUUACUGUGUUGCUCUAAAAAUCUAAAUUGUUACUUGGAUUGCUGUUUCUCAAUAAAGGUUUGUACACAAUGCUCUGACGUUUAGUGAUUAA
Molecule: non-coding RNA, 744 nt
Organism: Pelobates cultripes (western spadefoot toad)
Lineage: Eukaryota; Metazoa; Chordata; Amphibia; Anura; Pelobatidae
Source: the annotation of a GenBank genome assembly